CGGUAUGUAGCUUAAUUUGGUGGAGCGUGGUUUUGAUAAGACUGAGGUUGUUGGUUCAAUCCCAACUUUACCGA
RNAcentral lists this transfer RNA (74 nucleotides) under Halichondria sp. HK-2019. Its description in RNAcentral is "tRNA-Ile". It matches the Rfam family "tRNA". Rfam says of the family: Transfer RNA (tRNA) molecules are approximately 80 nucleotides in length. Their secondary structure includes four short double-helical elements and three loops (D, anti-codon, and T loops). Further hydrogen bonds mediate the characteristic L-shaped molecular structure. tRNAs have two regions of fundamental functional importance: the anti-codon, which is responsible for specific mRNA codon recognition, and the 3' end, to which the tRNAs corresponding amino acid is attached (by aminoacyl-tRNA synthetases). tRNAs cope with the degeneracy of the genetic code in two manners: having more than one tRNA (with a specific anti-codon) for a particular amino acid; and 'wobble' base-pairing, i.e. permitting non-standard base-pairing at the 3rd anti-codon position. Lineage: Eukaryota; Metazoa; Porifera; Demospongiae; Suberitida; Halichondriidae. The record is from RNAcentral.